AGGACGAACGCUGGCGGCGUGCUUAACACAUGCAAGUCGAGCGGUAAGGCCCUUUCGGGGGUACACGAGCGGCGAACGGGUGAGUAACACGUGGGUGACCUGCCCUUAGCUCUGGGAUAAGCCUGGGAAACUGGGUCUAAUACCGGAUAUGACCUCAUGACGCAUGUUGUGGGGUGGAAAGCCUUGUGCGGCUAGGGAUGGGCCCGCGGCCUAUCAGCUUGUUGGUGGGGUGAUGGCCUACCAAGGCGACGACGGGUAGCCGGCCUGAGAGGGCGACCGGCCACACUGGGACUGAGACACGGCCCAGACUCCUACGGGAGGCAGCAGUGGGGAAUCUUGCGCAAUGGGCGAAAGCCUGACGCAGCGACGCCGCGUGAGGGAUGACGGCCUUCGGGUUGUAAACCUCUUUCAGCCCUGACGAAGCGAAAGUGACGGUAGGGCAGAAGAAGCACCGGCCAACUACGCGCCAGCAGCCGCGGUAA
This 482-nucleotide ribosomal RNA is filed under the name uncultured bacterium. RNAcentral's name for it is "SSU rRNA". It matches the Rfam family "Bacterial small subunit ribosomal RNA", at positions 26 to 523 of the family's 1533-position model. The record is from RNAcentral.